This 407-nucleotide ribosomal RNA is filed under the name uncultured bacterium. RNAcentral's name for it is "partial 16S ribosomal RNA". It matches the Rfam family "Bacterial small subunit ribosomal RNA", at positions 30 to 526 of the family's 1533-position model. The record is from RNAcentral.
AUUGAACGCUGGCGGGAGGCCUAACACAUGCAAGUCGAACGGAGUGGCGGACGGGUGAGUAAUAUCUGGGAACGUGCCCGGUAGAGGGGGAUAACUACUCGAAAGGGUAGCUAAUACCGCAUACAAUGAGAGCGGCCGAUAUGGGAUUAGCUAGUUGGUGGGGUAACGGCUCACCAAGGCAACGAUCCGUAGCUGGUCUGAGAGGAUGACCAGCCACACUGGGACUGAGACACGGCCCAGACUCCUACGGGAGGCAGCAGUGGGGAAUUUUGGACAAUGGGGGAAACCCUGAUCCAGCCAUCCCGCGUGUAUGAUGAAGGCCUUCGGGUUGUAAAGUACUUUUGGCAGGGAAGCGGUAUCUGCAGAAUAAGCACCGGCUAACUCCGUGCCAGCAGCCGCGGUAAUAC